UGAGUUCGGUCAGUGCCUGAGGGAGC
RNAcentral lists this non-coding RNA (26 nucleotides) under Homo sapiens (human). The record is from RNAcentral. Lineage: Eukaryota; Metazoa; Chordata; Mammalia; Primates; Hominidae.